GAGUUUGAUCCUGGCUCAGGACGAACGCUGGCGGCGUGCUUAACACAUGCAAGUCGAACGGUAAGGCCCCAGCUUGCUGGGGUACACGAGUGGCGAACGGGUGAGUAACACGUGGGUGACCUGCCCCGCACUUCGGGAUAAGCCUGGGAAACUGGGUCUAAUACCGGAUAGGACCGCACCGUGAGGGUGUGGUGGAAAGUUUUUCGGUGUGGGAUGGGCCCGCGGCCUAUCAGCUUGUUGGUGGGGUAAUGGCCUACCAAGGCGGCGACGGGUAGCCGGCCUGAGGGGGUGGACGGCCACAUUGGGACUGAGACACGGCCCAGACUCCUACGGGAGGCAGCAGUGGGGAAUAUUGCACAAUGGGCGGAAGCCUGAUGCAGCGACGCCGCGUGGGGGAUGACGGCCUUCGGGUUGUAAACUCCUUUCACCAUCGACGAAGGUUUUCUGACGGUAGAUGGAGAAGAAGCACCGGCUAACUACGUGCCAGCAGCCGCGGUAAUACGUAGGGUGCGAGCGUUGUCCGGAAUUACUGGGCGUAAAGAGCUCGUAGGUGGUUUGUCGCGUCGUCUGUGAAAUUCCGGGGCUUAACUCCGGGCGUGCAGGCGAUACGGGCAUAACUUGAGUACUGUAGGGGAGACUGGAAUUCCUGNUGUANCGGUGAAAUGCGCAGAUAUCAGGAGGAACACCCGGUGGCGAAGGCGGGUCUCUGGGCAGUAACUGACGCUGAGGAGCGAAAGCAUGGGUAGCGAACAGGAUUAGAUACCCUGGUAGUCCAUGCCGUAAACGGUGGGCGCUAGGUGUAGGGGUCUUCCACGACUUCUGUGCCGUAGCUAACGCAUUAAGCGCCCCGCCUGGGGAGUACGGCCGCAAGGCUAAAACUCAAAGGAAUUGACGGGGGCCCGCACAAGCGGCGGAGCAUGUGGAUUAAUUCGAUGCAACGCGAAGAACCUUACCUGGGCUUGACAUAUACGGGACCGGGCCAGAGAUGGUCCUUCCCUUGUGGCUCGUAUACAGGUGGUGCAUGGUUGUCGUCAGCUCGUGUCGUGAGAUGUUGGGUUAAGUCCCGCAACGAGCGCAACCCUUGUCUUAUGUUGCCAGCACGUAAUGGUGGGGACUCGUGAGAAACUGCCGGGGUCAACUCGGAGGAAGGUGGGGAUGACGUCAAAUCAUCAUGCCCCUUAUGUCCAGGGCUUCACACAUGCUACAAUGGUCGGUACAGUGGGUUGCGAUGCCGUGAGGUGGAGCUAAUCCCUGAAAGCCGGUCUCAGUUCGGAUCGGGGUCUGCAACUCGACCCCGUGAAGUCGGAGUCGCUAGUAAUCGCAGAUCAGCAACGCUGCGGAGAUACGUUCGCGGGCCUGUACACACCGCCCGUC
RNAcentral lists this ribosomal RNA (1374 nucleotides) under uncultured bacterium. RNAcentral's name for it is "bacterial SSU rRNA". It matches the Rfam family "Bacterial small subunit ribosomal RNA". The record is from RNAcentral.